UAAUGGGUACAACAAGGACUGGUCGGCUCGGAGUCAGUAUAAUACUGCACUCAGCAGUAUUCUAGCUACACUCUUCAAAUAAAGAAACGCACAUGUGUUUUCAGCAGUUCAUUUCGAUAUAUUUUGACAGCAAUCGUCAUUAAGACAAUGUUUAAAUUAA
This is a long non-coding RNA of Haliotis rubra (blacklip abalone), 160 nucleotides long. RefSeq lists it as uncharacterized. The transcript has 2 exons. The record is from RefSeq and is a predicted model, not a curated record. NCBI's taxonomy places the organism in Eukaryota, Metazoa, Mollusca, Gastropoda, Lepetellida, Haliotidae.